ACGCAGAACCAUACCAUGUUGAACACACCAGUUCUCGUCCGAUCACUGACGUUAAACAGCGUUGGGAGUACCUUAGGUCCUAGGAGACCGUAUGGGAGAUCAGAAAUCUUGGUA
Molecule: ribosomal RNA, 114 nt
Filed under: Olea europaea subsp. europaea
Lineage: Eukaryota; Viridiplantae; Streptophyta; Magnoliopsida; Lamiales; Oleaceae
Source: RNAcentral